UGUGGAUUAGCUGAGCAUAAGGCUUUGACAAGGUCCUCUGAAUUUACUCUUUUUAUUUUCCUUAACCCUCAGGGACCUCAAUCCCUUCCCCAGCCGGUGCUUCCCGAGCAUCUCUGCACACACAGAGGAUUCCAUCAGGAACUCUCUCCUCUCUGCUGCUGGAGGAGAAUCCUUCCCCUGGGAUUACCUCCAGUGAAGCUGAGGAGAUCAAGGUCAUCUAAAGAGCUUAUUCUCUCUUUUCCCUCACUUGGAAGAAGAAUGUGAGGUAACUUCUCCAGCACAGGAUUCACUUGCACAGGGUGCUGGAGAAUCCCUUUUGCAGUCCUAAAUUCAGGGCAGAGACAGCACCAAAAGUCAUGGAGCAGAUGGAAGAGGAAAUUCCCUGGAGCUGGCAGGGCAGGGUGAAGUGGAAUUUUCUACCCCACUGCUGAGGGUUGUUUCAAUAUAGUGCUGCUGUGUUUGGCUCAGAAUGGGCCAUGCUCCACAGACAGAAGAUAAAAGGAGCAGAUUUUCUGCUCCACAUCUCUUCAGAGUGUGGAUCUCUCAGAGUUCCAGAUCUCUUCAGAGCCUUCAGCCUUCUUGGAGCCUGGCCUCAGGCCACUGCACUGUGCUGCUCCAGCUGCACUGUCCAGGAAUACAACCUGUGUGACACCACAGGACAGCUGAGUGACAAUGCAGCUCCUUGCAGAUAA
This 692-nucleotide long non-coding RNA is filed under the name Parus major (Great Tit). RNAcentral describes it as "lncRNA (ENSPMJG00000004973.1)". Lineage: Eukaryota; Metazoa; Chordata; Aves; Passeriformes; Paridae. The record is from RNAcentral.